UGCUGCAAGUGUGAUGAAGUGGUGGUUGGGCCUUCUCACUCYAGCUUGAUGUGUUUUCCUGUGCUGUGUGAAUKGAUGGUUCUUGCUUCAGUAAUAUUAUACCUUCUCAUGCAGUAUGUGCCCCUUGGUCUCAUUUGCUGCAUGGUGUUUAAGUUCUGCUUUGAAGGGACCUGAGGAAGAGCAGAGGCAGAGGCAGUUUUACGCUGGAUCUUCACGGACACAGGGAGGUGAACCUUGCGGGUGCUGGGCUCUGGCCUCGGCACGGGAAGAUGCUCUGGUGAGCGGCGCCCUGUGGACACUUGUCCUUCCCACCCGCUCCUGAUGCCUCCCAAAGGUAAAGCGAGCCCCGCGUGGGGGRCAUCUCUGGGAAUCCUGCUGGGAAAUGAUGCUCCAAGUGUGUGAGAAAGGUGACUUCUCAGACACAAAUCACCCUGUGGAUGGGUUGGCAAGAAAGCUACUUCUUUGUACUGAAGAUCGUGUCCUUCCWUCAGAGCAAGAGACUGAGUUUUUAGAUACUCUCAUUCUUAGUGACUUAAAAACCCCGGGCCUGUAAUGGGGGCUAAAAAAAUGCUUUUUUCCUCAAGCUUUGUUCUCAAAAAUAACUGAAACUCGGACACAAAUUUCUCUAAAACUGUUUGAAGCAGAUUCCAAGCUUGCUUGCUUUUAGUCCCACUGCUUUUGUUUGUUGUUACUUCUUUAAAGAUGAAAAUGGGCAACUACAAKAGAACUGGAGAAGAACAGGGAGAUGCUAGAGAGGGGCCAGGCUAAUAGUGCUCUGUGGUGUCUAAGUACACAGAGAACUCUGGGCGUUUAUGUUACCCAAAAUAGCGCUCGACAGUGUGAAGGAUUUCCAUGAAAUCUAGUAUCUGUGAAGCCUGCUCUAAGAGCUUUUAUAGAAUGAUUUAAAGUCAAUAAUGGUUCCACUUAAUGGCAAUAAUAUUUAUACAUUGUGUUUUUUUUU
Nothoprocta perdicaria is the source of this 961-nucleotide long non-coding RNA. RefSeq lists it as uncharacterized. Lineage: Eukaryota; Metazoa; Chordata; Aves; Tinamiformes; Tinamidae. The transcript is spliced from 3 exons. The record is from RefSeq and is a predicted model, not a curated record.